CCCACAACAAGUCGAGGCAGGCGCCUGCCAGGGUCUGUACUACCGGAUCAUCACUAUGCACUAGUACUAGUACUAUGAGAUUAUAAGAAAAAAGGACGUCGUGUUUAGAAUAAUGGCUACUGAAGGCUGUGAAGAGGACCAAGAGACUGAAGAUUCAACAUUUGUAGAGGACUCGGAGCGAGUGUGGUGUGUGGGUGACCGGUGUCAGGCCCCCUGCUCCUACGAUGGACAGUACUACACCGCUGUUAUC
Molecule: long non-coding RNA, 250 nt
Organism: Branchiostoma belcheri (Belcher's lancelet)
Lineage: Eukaryota; Metazoa; Chordata; Leptocardii; Amphioxiformes; Branchiostomatidae
Exons: 3
Source: RefSeq, a predicted model, not a curated record